CAGACGCUAAGCACGUCCUGCCUGUGAUUAGGUUAAGGAGGAAAAUGAAAUACAUUUCGCUUUGGUGUAAGCUACGGCUUUAAUGUGUGUCGGCGGGUGUUCCUUCAGAGCUGCUCAGAUCCACGUUGGUGGCGUGUGGGAGUGUGUGAGAAGGAGGAGGAGGAUGGAGAAGGAUGGAGGAGGACGAGGAGGAGGAGGAGAGGGUGCAGCAGAAGCAAUGAGAGCACGAGGACCCGUCGGAGGGAGAGAAGCAGAGAGCACAGCGACACGCUGCUCCAGCUGAACAAACAAAAACACCCCGAAACACCACAAACCGGGGAGCUGGAAAAAUGUUCAGGUCUGCACGGGGUCAGAUUCCUGAGCGUAUCUAAUUCAAUUUCACAAACUGUAAAACACCGGGUUGCGUGAAGGUCCCCACUACACACACACACACACACACGCGCGCGCGUGUGCACAUUAUAGUCUAAUACUCGUACACAAACAACUGAUGCACACAAACACUUCUUAUUUACCAGUACGGACAGCACGUGUGUACACAAUUCUAGAGAAAAAGGUUCCUCAGGGGUUCUUCGGAUGGUUAACAGUUUUAUGUUGAUAAACACGUUGUACUCGGGACCUUUUCUGCUUUACGGUUCUACGUGUAGUCUUAGAAGAAACUUUAAAAAAAAAAAAAAAAAGGUUAUGUCUGGCAUUUUUAAGAGGUUCUUGUUAAUCGGUCUUUAGAGAAGGUUUUAUGUACAACCCUACAGCAAAGGGUCGUUUUAUAUCAGAGAACGUCCCAUGUAGCACCCUUUAGAGGUCUUAAUUUGGUGAACUCAUAAAGGUUCUAUGUAGAACCCUGCUACAAAGCGGUUUCCCAUCUGAAAAGGUUCCAUGUAGCACCCUUUUUAUAGAAGGUUCUAAUUAGAACCAUGCAGCAAGGUUUCUUAUUAGAAAAGGUUCCCAGAAGAAGCCCUUUUGAAGAAAUCUUUUUUUUCUCUUUUGAGAUUUGAGAUUUAAGAACGUUUAAUGGUUCCCCCAUAGUGAUUGGAAAACCUUAAACAAGGGGUUUCCUAUCUGAAAAGGUUCCAUCUAGCACUCUUAAGAGAUCUUGUGUUUGUCCCUCAUGGGUAAACUCUGGGUAAAAUAUAAUGAUCUAUGUAGAACACAACAAGGUUUCCUAUCAGAGAAGGUUCCAUGUAGAGCCACUUUUGAAAAGUAUCCUAAAAGCCUUAAAACAUUUUUACGAACAUUUAACGGUUUUCCAUUAAAGAUGUAGAACCCUACAACAAAGAGGUCCUGGCCUGGUGAAGUCUGAAAGGUUCUGUGUAGAACUCUAAAACAAAAUCUUUCCGAUCAGAUCAGAAAGGUUCCACGUAGUACCAUUAAAAGAUCUCGGAUUUGUCCGUCUAGGGAACUCUUGAAGGUUCUAUGCGGAACCUUACAUGUGUAGAACCCCUUUUGAGAUCUACAACUAUUUUCCAUCCAAGAAGACCUAGAUAAAAUCUUUUGCUUCCGAGCUGAGAACAUGCAAGAGUUCCC
Long non-coding RNA from Ictalurus punctatus (channel catfish), 1521 nucleotides. Lineage: Eukaryota; Metazoa; Chordata; Actinopteri; Siluriformes; Ictaluridae. The record is from Ensembl.